Molecule: ribosomal RNA, 468 nt
Filed under: uncultured bacterium
Lineage: Bacteria
Description: partial 16S ribosomal RNA
Rfam family: Bacterial small subunit ribosomal RNA
Source: RNAcentral
GACGAACGCUGGCGGCGUGCUUAACACAUGCAAGUCGAACGGAAAGGCCCUGCUUUUGUGGGGUGCUCGAGUGGCGAACGGGUGAGUAACACGUGAGUAACCUGCCCUUGACUUUGGGAUAACUUCAGGAAACUGGGGCUAAUACCGGAUAGGAGCUCCUGCUGCAUGGUGGGGGUUGGAAAGUUUCGGCGGUUGGGGAUGGACUCGCGGCUUAUCAGCUUGUUGGUGGGGUAGUGGCUUACCAAGGCUUUGACGGGUAGCCGGCCUGGGAGGGUGACCGGCCACAUUGGGACUGCGAUACGGCCCAGACUCCUACGGGAGGCAGCAGUGGGGAAUAUUGCACAAUGGGCGGAAGCCUGAUGCAGCAACGCCGCGUGCGGGAUGACGGCCUUCGGGUUGUAAACCGCUUUCGCCUGUGACGAAGCGUGAGUGAUGGUAAUGGGUAAAGAAGCACCGGCUAACUACGUG